CCUACGGGAGGCAGCAGUGGGGGAUAUUGCACAAUGGGGUGAACCCUGAUGCAGCGACGCCGCGUGGGUGAAGGAGCGUUUCGGCGCGUAAAGCCCUAUCGGCAGGGAAGAAGAUGACGGUACCUGACCAAGAAGCCCCGGCUAACUACGUGCCAGCAGCCGGGGUAAUACGUAGGAGGCAAGCGUUAUCCGGAUUUACUGGGUGUAAAGGGGGCGCAGGCGGCAAUGCAAGCCAGGAGUGAAAGUCCGGGGCCCAACCCCGGGACGGCUCUGGGAACUGCAUGGCUUGAGUAGUGGAGGGGCAGGCGGAAGGCGUGGGGUAGCGGGGAAAGGCGUAGAUAUUGCGCAGA
RNAcentral lists this ribosomal RNA (350 nucleotides) under uncultured bacterium. RNAcentral describes it as "partial 16S ribosomal RNA". It matches the Rfam family "Bacterial small subunit ribosomal RNA", at positions 338 to 705 of the family's 1533-position model. The record is from RNAcentral.